CCCUCUUUCACAACAAAUCGUAUUGUGCGCUUCAAACAAAGAAGACAAACAGGAUUCGAAGAUCAAGACUCAGCUCAAAUCAGUUAUAUAUGGAGUGGCCAAGAUGGUUAACAAGUGUUGUGCCCCCGGGUGCAACAGUGGCUACAAUUCCACCAAGCACAAGGACACGGGGGGGAUUCCUUACCACAAGUUUCCCAAGGAUCCUCCUCUCCAACAGAGAUGGAUACGAUGCGUUCCAUGGGACAAUUAGGAACCAACUCAAAAUUCAGCACUCUGCAGCAAACACUUCGUCAACACUGAUUAUCAGACAAAGUACUUGGGCUCAAAUACCACUCGCGCCAAAAUAAAAAAGACAUCAACAUCCAACUCAAAAUUCUUUGAAAAGAGGCCAUUCCUUCUCAGUUUCCACAAUUGGCGUCCUACUAUAGCCGUCUUCCAAGUGCUCCACGUCAGAGGUUACUCAGAGUUCAAGUUGGAGGCCAAAAGAGAUCAAAAUGGUCGAACUUGCUGCUGCCAUGUUUCUUCAACAGGAUAAAAUCAAACACUCUCGGAACUCAAGUCAAAACUGGAGUGGCCUUCUCUCUCAAGUGGAACUUGUAACAUCCUGCAGUCCUAUGAUCGACUGAUGUUGGUUUUCAUUUAGACAAAUGAACUUUUGAUGCCGAAAAUAC
This is a long non-coding RNA of Tigriopus californicus, 671 nucleotides long. RefSeq lists it as uncharacterized. Lineage: Eukaryota; Metazoa; Arthropoda; Copepoda; Harpacticoida; Harpacticidae. The transcript has 3 exons. The record is from RefSeq and is a predicted model, not a curated record.